Molecule: ribosomal RNA, 492 nt
Filed under: uncultured bacterium
Lineage: Bacteria
Description: partial 16S ribosomal RNA
Rfam family: Bacterial small subunit ribosomal RNA
Source: RNAcentral
AGUGAACGCUGGCGGCAGGCCUAACACAUGCAAGUCGAACGGCAGCACAGUACUAGCUUGUUCUUACGGGGGGGGACUGGCGGGCGAGUGCGGGAUAUAUCCGAGUCUGCUUUUUAUAACGUGCUAACACAGGCGAUCAUACGGCAUACCUGCAGACGGCGUACGGGUGAGAUCAUCGGAUCUUAGGCUCUCAGGUGAGCCUAGGUCGCGAUGUCGGAUUAGCUAGUUGGCGGGGUAAAGGCCCACCAAGGCGACGAUCCGUAGCUGGUCUGAGAGGAUGAUCAGCCACACUGGAACUGAGACACGGUCCAGACUCCUACGGGAGGCAGCAGUGGGGAAUAUUGGACAAUGGGCGAAAGCCUGAUCCAGCCAUGCCGCGUGUGUGAAGAAGGUCUUCGGAUUGUAAAGCCCUUUUGUUGGGGAAGAAAAGCAGUAGGUUAAUACCUCGCUGUUCUGACGGUACCCAAAGAAUAAGCACCGGCUAACUUCGUG